Molecule: non-coding RNA, 54 nt
Organism: Salmo salar (Atlantic salmon)
Lineage: Eukaryota; Metazoa; Chordata; Actinopteri; Salmoniformes; Salmonidae
Source: Rfam
UGCAUUCGCUACUGUAAGUCGCUCUGGAUAAGAGCGUCUGCUAAAUGACUGUAA